UAAACUAGGAUUAGAUACCCUAUUAUUUUUAUUGUAAAAUUUGAAACUUGAGUAUUAGUAGUUAAGGUCUUGAAACUUAAAGAAUUUGGCGGUAUUAUAGUCUAUUUAGAGGAAUCUGUUAUGUAAUCGAUAGUCCACGUUGAACCUUACUUAUAUUAUUUCUUGUAUACCGCUGUUUGAGAAUAUACUUUUAGGUUAUUUUCUUAAUAUAUUAUUAAUUAAAAUUUCAGGUCAAGGUGCAGUAAUAUAUAAGUUGAAUAAUGGAUUACAAUAAAUUUUAUUUAUAUGGAUUGUUAUUGAAAUAUAAUUUGAAGGUGGAUUUAAUUGUAAUUUUUUAAAGAUUAUUAAAAUGAUUAAUAGCUCUAUAAUAUGUACACAUCGCCCGUCGCUCUCGUUAUUAAGAUGAGAUAAGUCGAAACAUAGUAA
Molecule: ribosomal RNA, 426 nt
Filed under: Tenodera sp. nov. MN519
Lineage: Eukaryota; Metazoa; Arthropoda; Insecta; Mantodea; Mantidae
Description: partial 12S ribosomal RNA
Source: RNAcentral